RNAcentral lists this ribosomal RNA (490 nucleotides) under uncultured bacterium. RNAcentral describes it as "partial 16S ribosomal RNA". It matches the Rfam family "Bacterial small subunit ribosomal RNA", at positions 30 to 507 of the family's 1533-position model. The record is from RNAcentral.
AUUGGACGCUGGCGGCAUGCUUUACACAUGCCAGUCGGACGGCAGCACAGAGAAGCUUGCUUCUUGGGUGGCGAGUGGCGAACGGGUGAGUAAUAUAUCGGAACGUACCGAGUAAUGGGGGAUAACUAAUCGAAAGAUUAGCUAAUACCGCAUAUUCUCUGAGGAGGAAAGCAGGGGACCUUCGGGCCUUGCGUUAUUCGAGCGGCCGAUAUCUGAUUAGCUAGUUGGUGGGGUAAAGGCCUACCAAGGCGACGAUCAGUAGCGGGUCUGAGAGGAUGAUCCGCCACACUGGGACUGAGACACGGCCCAGACUCCUACGGGAGGCAGCAGUGGGGAAUUUUGGACAAUGGGCGCAAACCUGAUCCAGCCAUGCCGCGUGUCUGAAGAAGGCCUUCGGGUUGUAAAGGACUUUUGUCAGGGAAGAAAAGGCUGUUGCUAAUACCGACAGCUGAUGACGGUACCUGAAGAAUAAGCACCGGCUAACUACGUG